RNAcentral lists this ribosomal RNA (416 nucleotides) under uncultured bacterium. RNAcentral's name for it is "bacterial SSU rRNA". It matches the Rfam family "Bacterial small subunit ribosomal RNA", at positions 355 to 786 of the family's 1533-position model. The record is from RNAcentral.
UGGGAAGUAUUGCACAAUGGGCGCAAGCCUGAUGCAGCAACGCCGCGUGAAGGAAGACGGUUUUCGGAUUGUAAACUUCUGUUCUUAGUGAAGAAGAAUGACGGUAGCUAAGGAGCAAGCCACGGCUAACUACGUGCCAGCAGCCGCGGUAAUACGUAGGUGGCAAGCGUUGUCCGGAAUUACUGGGUGUAAAGGGAGCGCAGGCGGGGAGCAAAGUCAGUUGUGAAAUCCAUGGGCUUAACCCGUGAACUGCAGUUGAAAACUGUUCUUCUUGAGUGAAGUAGAGGUUGGCGGAAUUCCGAGUGUAGCGGUGAAAUGCGUAGAUAUUCGGAGGAACACCGGUGGCGAAGGCGGCCAACUGGGCUUUUACUGACGCUGAGGCUCGAAAGUGUGGGGAGCAAACAGGAUUAGAUACC